AUGCCCAGUGAUUAUAAAAAGACGCGUUAUUCUGAGGAAUACAACCUGCUACCAGUCUUUCUCCUACUCUUUACUCUGUCUUUAAUCUCCUCCAUCUUUCCUAUCCAUCCUCCACUUCUUCUCCCCUUCCUUUACUUCCUUCAAACUGGUAGCUGGUCCGCUGACUGCGAUUAUGAGACAUGAGGGCAU
Small nucleolar RNA from Mugil cephalus (flathead mullet), 189 nucleotides. RefSeq annotates it as small nucleolar RNA SNORD97. Lineage: Eukaryota; Metazoa; Chordata; Actinopteri; Mugiliformes; Mugilidae. The record is from RefSeq and is a predicted model, not a curated record. The transcript has a single exon.